UACGUAGGGUGCAAGCGUUGUCCGGAAUUAUUGGGCGUAAAGAGCUCGUAGGCGGUCUGUCACGUCGGCUGUGAAAUCCCGAGGCUCAACCUCGGGUCUGCAGUCGAUACGGGCAAACUAGAGUAUUGCAGGGGAGACUGGAAUUCCUGGUGUAGCGGUGAAAUGCGCAGAUAUCAGGAGGAACACCGGUGGCGAAGGCGGGUCUCUGGGCAAUAACUGACGCUGAGGCGCGAAAGCCAGGGGAGCGAACGGG
Molecule: ribosomal RNA, 253 nt
Filed under: uncultured bacterium
Lineage: Bacteria
Description: partial 16S ribosomal RNA
Rfam family: Bacterial small subunit ribosomal RNA
Source: RNAcentral